Molecule: ribosomal RNA, 253 nt
Filed under: uncultured bacterium
Lineage: Bacteria
Description: partial 16S ribosomal RNA
Rfam family: Bacterial small subunit ribosomal RNA
Source: RNAcentral
UACGUAGGGUACAAGCGUUGUCCGGAAUUAUUGGGCGUAAAGAGCUCGUAGGCGGUUUGUCGCGUCUGCUGUGAAAACUCGGGGCUUAACCCCGGGCCUGCAGUGGGUACGGGCAGACUAGAGUGCGGUAGGGGAGACUGGAAUUCCUGGUGUAGCGGUGAAAUGCGCAGAUAUCAGGAGGAACACCAAUGGCGAAGGCAGCUCGCUGGGACGGUACUGACGCUGAGGCGCGAAAGCGUGGGGAGCAAACAGG